GUAGGAGCCAAGCGUUAUCCGAAUUCACUGGGCGUAAAGCGCGUGCAGGCGGCCUGAUAAGUUGGAUGUGAAAUCUCCUGGCUCAACUGGGAGAGGCCGUUCAAGACUGUCGGGCUCGAGGGCGACAGAGGGAGGUGGAAUUCCGGGUGUAGUGGUGAAAUGCGUAGAUAUCCGGAGGAACACCAGAGGCGAAGGCGACCUCCUGGGUCGUACCUGACGCUCAGAUGCGAAAGCUAGGGGAGCGAACGGGAUUAGAAACCCCGGUAGUCCUAGCCGUAAACGAUGUAGACUGGGUGUCGGCGGGGUAAAAGCCGUCGGCGCCGAAGCCAACGCGAUAAGUCUACCGCCUGGGGACUACGGCCGCAAGGUUAAA
This 373-nucleotide ribosomal RNA is filed under the name uncultured bacterium. Its description in RNAcentral is "bacterial SSU rRNA". It matches the Rfam family "Bacterial small subunit ribosomal RNA", at positions 527 to 898 of the family's 1533-position model. The record is from RNAcentral.